RNAcentral lists this ribosomal RNA (253 nucleotides) under uncultured bacterium. RNAcentral's name for it is "partial 16S ribosomal RNA". It matches the Rfam family "Bacterial small subunit ribosomal RNA", at positions 524 to 776 of the family's 1533-position model. The record is from RNAcentral.
UACAGAGGGUGCAAGCGUUGCUCGGAAUUAUUGGGCGUAAAGGGUAGGUAGGUGGUCUUGUUUGUCAGAGGUGAAAUCCCUGGGCUUAACCCAGGAAGUGCCUCUGAAACGGCAAGACUCGAGUACUGGAGAGGGUCGUGGAAUUCCCGGUGUAGCGGUGAAAUGCGUAGAGAUCGGGAGGAACACCAGAGGCGAAGGCGGCGACCUGGACAGUUACUGACACUCAACUACGAAAGCGUGGGGAGCAAACAGG